Molecule: RNase P RNA, 433 nt
Filed under: Candidatus Zhuqueibacterota bacterium
Lineage: Bacteria; Pseudomonadati
Also listed under: 1 other name
Description: candidate division KSB1 bacterium (activated sludge metagenome) RNase P RNA component class A
Rfam family: Bacterial RNase P class A
About the family: Ribonuclease P (RNase P) is a ubiquitous endoribonuclease, found in archaea, bacteria and eukarya as well as chloroplasts and mitochondria.
Source: RNAcentral
AGAGCAGGCUGGACGGCCGCCUUCGUUCCGGGCCAUGUGUCCGAAAUGAGGGAGGAAAGUCCGAACUCCAAAGGGCAGAGCGGUCGCUAACAGCGACCCCGAGUGAUCGGGGGAAAGUGCCACAGAAAACAGACUACCUCGUGUCCGAUUCGUCGGGGCGGGGAAAAGUUGCAAUGGUGGGGUAAGAGCCCACCGCUCGCCGUGGUGACAUGGGAGGCAUGGUAAACCCCGCUCGGAGCAAGACCAAAUAGGUGUCGUUUUCCCGAGUUUUCGGGAAAAAGGGUAGCCCGCCCAAUCUCGCUUGCGAGGACGAAACGGGUAGGUCGCUCGAGCCUGGUGGCAACAUCCGGCCCAGAUAAAUGGUCGUCACCUUGUUGUGGCGCUCCGGCGUCGCUGCAAGGCACAGAAUUCGGCUUACAGGCUUGCUCUGGAA